Cucumis melo (muskmelon) is the source of this 606-nucleotide long non-coding RNA. RefSeq lists it as uncharacterized. The transcript is spliced from 2 exons. Lineage: Eukaryota; Viridiplantae; Streptophyta; Magnoliopsida; Cucurbitales; Cucurbitaceae. The record is from RefSeq and is a predicted model, not a curated record.
UAUGAGCUUCCUUCACAUGGAAGUAGUUGACGUCAUCUUUAUGUAAGAAGGUCGGUGAGUUGAUAUGACCUUGCCGCUCAAUUGAAUUCAGGAUAAGGAGGUGACAGUAACACGUGGCGUUCUGGCAUUGGCUGAGUCUCACUACCGGCCGGAGGUAAUCAUUCUAGCAUGGGAAGUUUCACCGAAGAGACUUAUAAAUAGGUGAACUCCUGCCAUUUUUGGAGUUGUUUUACCUUGUAUUCAGUUAAGAAAGAAUUGAGCAAAUCUCAAAGAUUUUUAGAGAUUCAUCACGAGCUUGAAUUUGACAAGAAAUUGCAAGGAAGUGCAAGGAAAUUCUCGGUUAAGGAGUUAGGCGAGGAAACUAAAUGAUUGAAGCGAGGAACAUCGUCCAGCUUUUAUCUUGUCGUCUUGACCACCUAAUGUGACAUACAUCAAUCGCAACAUCUUGGUAGUAGCCUCUAUCAACUCACAUAGCAUGUAGAAUCUAGUCGAGGAGAGUCAAACUAUUAUUUAGAGACUUGUAUAUAUUUUCAGUUGAAGAAACUUUGUGCUUGUGUUAAAUGUACUCUUUUAUCCAUCAUCAAUGAAGUAGCUGUGUUUUUCAAA